This 117-nucleotide ribosomal RNA is filed under the name Clostridia bacterium. The record is from RNAcentral. Lineage: Bacteria; Bacillati; Bacillota; Clostridia.
UCCGGUGAUAAUGAUGAAGAGGAAACACCUGUUCCCAUGCCGAACACAGCAGUUAAGCUCUUUAAUGCAGACGAUAGUUAGUUGGAGACGACUUGUGAAAAUAUGUAGUUGCCGGGU